UACGUAGGGUGCAAGCGUUGUUCGGAUUUACUGGGCGUAAAGGGCGCGUAGGCGGCGCAACAAGUCACUUGUGUAAUCUCCGGGCUUAACCCGGAGCGGCCAAGUGAAACUGUCAUGCUAGAGUGCAGAAGGGGCAAUCGGAAUUCUUGGUGUAGCGGUGAAAUGCGUAGAUAUCAAGUGGAACACCAGUGGCGAAGGCGAAUCCCUGGAAAAUACCUGACACUGAGGCACGAAAGCUAGGGGAGCAAACAGG
Molecule: ribosomal RNA, 253 nt
Filed under: uncultured bacterium
Lineage: Bacteria
Description: partial 16S ribosomal RNA
Rfam family: Bacterial small subunit ribosomal RNA
Source: RNAcentral